UUUGAGCGUGCAUUUUUCCGCAGCGUUUCCGAAACCAUCAAAAUAAAAACAAAGUGAAUUUUUGUUUCGGCCAGUUUGCUCCGUUUUGUCGUCUUCGUUGUUCCAGAGAAAAAGUGAUGAGACUCCUUAAUUGGCAGAAGAAAUACUCUCUACAACCCCCCAGCAGUCUGGUGCCGCAUGAAAAACAGGCCCCCUGAGCUGCGGCCAAACCACAGACUACAGCCAUGGAACCAUCGCUAGUUUCUAUACUCUAGAUUGCUGUGAAAUCGAACCAAUGAAACGGAUUUUCAUCUACGCACAAGGAAAAAUCAAGCACCAGCAGAAGGUCAUCCAAGCGCAAUUUUUUUUCUAAAUCACCGGAGGUGCAAGCGAUAAUGCAGAGCUUCACCGGGAAAACUUCGGCAACAUAUGAAACCUAACCGGAAAGGGAUGAGAGAUAUGAUCGUGAUGUGGUGUAUUACUUCCGGGACAACCCCCUCCCUUCGCUUCGUAACGGCUUUUGUACGAAAAUUUUGUAUAAGUCAUAACGCUCGAGCCUAUUUCAUCCCCCCCCUCGAAAGUUACGCAAUUUGGGGACGGCACCUAAAUAAUUCUGAAUUCCGACUGAGAAUUAUUUUUAUUAUUGAUAUUAUUUUGAAUUUAAAGACUCGUUGCUUAAUACGUAAAUAAUAAAAGCAUGAAUUGAAAAAAGUUAAGUUAUAAAUGUUUAAUUAUUUCAAAUCAGAAAUAAUGGAACAAAUAGAACAUGUAGCAUGAAUCUGCUUCUGAAGAGAAAUAGUUGAAAUUGUGAUUAAAUUGCGUGAUUUGUGUACGUUUCAAUUGAAGUUGAUUUUUCUACACGUAUCUAAUUGUUUCAUUAUUUUGAUUCAUUCUAAAAUAAUUUUACCUAGAUAUAAACAUAUCAGUACAGUACAGGAUACGGUCAAAU
This 928-nucleotide long non-coding RNA is filed under the name Aedes aegypti (yellow fever mosquito). RNAcentral's name for it is "lncRNA AAEL021415". Lineage: Eukaryota; Metazoa; Arthropoda; Insecta; Diptera; Culicidae. The record is from RNAcentral.